GAAUGGGUUACUGUUUAUGGGUUCUCUCCUGGUGAUACCAAUCUAGUUUUACGGGAGUUUGAGAAAUGUGGUGUGAUCUUGAAACAUGUUCCUGGUCCAAGGGACGCUAACUGGAUGCACAUUCUUUAUCAGAGUCAAUCUGAUGCUCAGAAGGCUCUCAGCAAGAACGGGAUGCAAAUAAAUGGGGUAAAUGGGGUAAUAAUAGUUGGCGUGAAGCCCGUAGAUCCAAUGCAACGCCAAGCUUUGAAUGAAAGACAUAACAAUCAGGGAUUCAUGACUUUACCCCCACCACCAUCUUCUAGAAGUUCAGAUUUGAGGACAAUAAGAACUUCUUCUCGCCCCUACUAUCUUCAAAAUGGCAGUGGCAGCGCCCAGUGGUCAGGAGGUGCCAUUGCUUCCCCAACCAAGUCUAUGGUAUCCAAAAUCUUUGAUGUGAUGUUUGGCAUUUAGGUUAAUUUUCUGUUCAUGGGUAUGGCUUUUAUUAUCUUCUACGGUGAGAUGCAUGACGGCUUUUGGCAAUUCAGGUAUAAGGUUGAGAGUCUUGGAUAUCUUUUCCAUGUGAGAGUUGUAUACCUUGUUAUUGACUUGAAAUUGUAAAAGAUUGUUGGAAACUCUUUGAAAAAAAAAUUACUAGAUUGAAUUCAAACAUCAC
This 652-nucleotide unclassified non-coding RNA is filed under the name Hevea brasiliensis (rubber tree). The record is from RNAcentral. Lineage: Eukaryota; Viridiplantae; Streptophyta; Magnoliopsida; Malpighiales; Euphorbiaceae.